This 506-nucleotide ribosomal RNA is filed under the name uncultured bacterium. Its description in RNAcentral is "partial 16S ribosomal RNA". It matches the Rfam family "Bacterial small subunit ribosomal RNA", at positions 30 to 523 of the family's 1533-position model. The record is from RNAcentral.
AUUGAACGCUGGCGGCAGGCUUAACACAUGCAAGUCGAGCGGUAACAGAGAGAAGCUUGCUUCUCUGCUGACGAGCGGCGGAUGGGUGAGUAAUGCCUAGGAACCUGCCUAGUAGUGGGGGAUAACUUGCCGAAAGGUAAGCUAAUACCGCAUACGUCCUACGGGAGAAAGGAGGGGACCUUCGGGCCUUUCGCUAUUAGAUGAGCCUAGGUCGGAUUAGUUAGUUGGUGAGGUAAUGGCUCACCAAGACCGCGAUCCGUAACUGGUCUGAGAGGAUGAUCAGUCACACUGGAACUGAGACACGGUCCAGACUCCUACGGGAGGCAGCAGUGGGGAAUAUUGGACAAUGGGGGGAACCCUGAUCCAGCCAUGCCGCGUGUGUGAAGAAGGUCUUAGGAUUGUAAAGCACUUUAAGUUGGGAGGAAGAGCAGUUAACUAAUAUUUGACUGUUUUGACGUUACCGACAGAAUAAGCACCGGCUAACUUCGUGCCAGCAGCCGCAGUAA